GGGCCCGCACAAGCGGUGGAGUAUGUGGUUUAAUUCGAUGCAACGCGAAGAACCUUACCAGGGUUUGACAUCCUGCGAAUCUCUUGGAAACAGGAGAGUGCCUUCGGGAACGCAGUGACAGGUGGUGCAUGGCUGUCGUCAGCUCGUGUCGUGAGAUGUUGGGUUAAGUCCCGCAACGAGCGCAACCCACGUCUUUAGUUGCCAGCAUUUAGUUGGGCACUCUAGAGAGACUGCCGGUGAUAAACCGGAGGAAGGUGUGGAUGACGUCAAGUCAUCAUGCCCUUACAUCCUGGGCUACACACGUACUACAAUGCUACGGACAGAGGCAGCAGUCGCGAGACAAG
Molecule: ribosomal RNA, 344 nt
Filed under: uncultured bacterium
Lineage: Bacteria
Description: bacterial SSU rRNA
Rfam family: Bacterial small subunit ribosomal RNA
Source: RNAcentral